AAGUGAGACCCUGUCUUUAUUUAAAAUUAAGGAAAAAUAAAGAUACGAUACUGUAUGCAGAUUUAAAUCAUUUUGAGCAAGUCGUAUUUUCUUGCCACCUUGGAAGAGUCAAUUAACAUUUAUUGCUGGCCACAUGGCAGACAAUAUGCUCAAUGCUUCAUGGGCAUUAUCUCAUUUCUGUUUUAAAUUACAAAAUGAAGUCUAUGGAUGUUGAAAAUUUUGAAAGAUAUAGAAAAACACAGGAUAAAAAUUGAGAGGCUCUCGUCUCUUCUGCCUUCCCUUACCUUCUCUCUCACUGCUCUCUUUCCCUACAGCUUACCCUAGUGGUACAUGUAUGGUUGUGUGCCGGAUAUGUAUGUGUGUGUUUGUGGGUAGCUGUGUGUACAUACACACAUAACCAUACAAACAAGACCAUAGCUAUUUAUUGUAUUAAGACUUUUCCCCCCUUUUUAAUAGUGUAAUUUGGAUAUUUUCCUGCCUUCUACCAAAUACAUAAAUAUCAUGUUUCUUAAUACUCUUAAUAGUCUAUUCCAUAGUUUAGACUGUAUUUAACAACUCCCUUAUCAUUAGAUAUUUAGGCUUGUCCAGCUUUUUGCUAUCACAAACAGGGAUCUUGGUGUAUAUGUGAAUGUUGGCAGCAGGUUAGCAGAGCACCAGAAGUGGGACUACUGGUCAAACCUUUGCACAAAAAUCAUACAGCCUCUAAUAGCAUUUCCCAGAGAAGAAAAGGGCCUUGUCUGGAACACAGAUCAAGAACUCUUAACUUUUUCUGAUCCAUGCUUUACAUUGCCACUUGAUAAAUACUACAUGUCAUCUCUAAGUACCACUAAAUCUCCCAUCUGGAGAGAUGGGACACUCUCCUUUAUACCUUUGAUGACUUUACUACCCAUGAUAAAAGCAGGAGAUCCCACCUUCCAGCUGCCCCUUCUUAAACAUCUAACUCUGUGCAAGUCCCAACCCUCAUUUAAUCACUUUGCUACUUCAUUGCAUUCAUCACACCAACUUGCAGUUAUUUGUACAGUUGUUCAUCUUCCAUUAGACUGAGCCCUCUGAGGGCAGGAAAUAUUUUUCAUUCUUCUUGGAACUUCCUUUUCCUAACAUAGUGUCUGAGAUGCUCAAUAAACUUUUUUUUGAGUGAAUAAAAAAUAAAUGAGGGAGUAGAAUACCUAGAUGAAUUCAGUUAUAAAAUGGCUCCAGGUACUGAAAUUGUCCAUUUUCAUUUUUAUGUUUUUGCAAUAAGAAAGAUGAACAUGCAUCUCCCCUAGUGCUACUUUUUUCAAAACUAAAUAUUCUAAUUCCAAGGCUUUAUUUCCGUCAAAUAACUACCACUUCCAAAUUCUUCUGUUAUUUUUAUUGUUCUCCAGGAUCUCUCCAUCUCAAUCAUGUCAUACAUUGGAAACAAUUCUCUGACACUUCAUCUAUAUACAAUCAACACUUUGUUAGGCUCUUGUAGCUGCCUCAUUUUUUGUAACACAAUAGAAUACUUGCCUUAAUAAUAAAUUAUAUUUGCCUUACAGUAUGGCUUAUUAGAUACCCAAAAUGUUUUCUGCCAUGCUUUCGAAAUGUUUUGACUGCAUGACAUUCUAUGGUGUUAAAAUUCCCCAAAAUGAAUGAUUUAUACUGCAUUUGCCUUAAUUGGAAUCUAUCCUGUUUUCAUCUUUCCUACUUUGACAGUCAUCUCAAUGUAAAUCCUGUGUCAGAGGUGCUUAUCUGUCUCUUUGCUACUUUUCUUUGAAAACUAAACAUAAACACAAGAAAUUUCACAUAGUAAAACUAGUAAGAUCUGGGUUUAUAAAUAUAAAUGGUGCAUCUGUGGCGGCAGAGCUCUGUCUCCAACUUCUUGGAGAUAAACAAGUUCAUAGUUAGAAAUGCUCUAGAAGUAAACAGGAAACCUGCUACACAAAUUGUGAAAUAUAAGUAUGUUUUAUAGAAGUCCUGAAAUUGUAUUUUUCAACAAGUUAAAACAGAAAAACCUAACACUACCAUAUCCAUUAAAUAUUAAUUCUCUCUUCCUCAAAUGUUUUACUCAUAUCUAUGCCUGUCCCUUUGGAACAUUUUUCAGUCAAAUUCAUAACACUGUCUUGAUUCCAAGCCUCAGGAGAACAUUUGAAUGAAAUUUUCAAAUGCUUCAAUUUUUAUAUCAUCCAAUGUGGAAUUCACAUUUACUGAGCACCUGCAAUGAGCUAGGAUCUGUACUACAUACUUUUAAAAAUACAUUAUUUUUCCUAAGAAAGUUCUGAGGUAGAUAUAUUAUUUUACAGAUGAGGAAACAGAGGUUCAGAGAGGUUAACUGACUUCACAAAAGUCAUAGAGCUACUAGGUAACAGAGCUCAUUGAACAUGGAGCUAGGAUUCAACCCUGGAUCGCCGUGAAGCCAUUUUGUUUCCAUGACAUCAUGACAUUGGUUAUAACACCACAAUUGUUUAGAAUAUAAGGCUUGUUUAGAAUGCAAGGCUUCCUCAAUUCUCCACCCUUCCCCUCUUGACAUCUUGCUCUUCUUCCCUUCAUCUAUUGUGUUAGUCAGGUGCAUGCUGGUCUUCCCUCUAUCAAACUGUAAGCUACUUGGAGACUUGGGAUGCCUCACUCAUCUCUAUUCCCAAACCUCAGGGUCUAUCAUUCUACCUUCUGUAUAGACAGGACUUUCAUAGUUUUGAACAAGUCAGAACCUGAAAGAAUUUGCUUCCAGAACAGGACAUUGACAGGAAAAUUAAGCAUGAUCAUGCCGAGUAAAAUAGGAAUAAGAAUUGGACCUACCUCAAGAUCUGUUGAGAAGAUUAUGAGAGAGCUGAUGGAUCUAAAAGAUUGGCGCUUGAUAGAAUUGGGAUCAUUUGUUUUGACUAGAACAAUCUCUUGCAGCUUGGAUGGAGAAACUUUACAGAGGUUUCAGCCAAACACUCAUGAAUUCUUUAAUGUGUGAAAUAAAGUAAGUUUUAUAGGCAAAUAACAAUCUGAAUCCCUAACUAGCUAUUUCAUAUAAUAUGCAUAUAACUCUGAAAAUUACAUACAUCAAAUUUCAAUUUGGCUUCAUGCAUGCUUUGUUUUAUAGAUUCAUAAAGGCAGAUUUUCUCUGAUUAUCAGACUUAUUGCAAAAUGGAGUCAACACAGAAACUUCCUGAAGUUGGCAAAGCUUGUUUUCUUUGGCUGACAGGAGUAACUGAUGUAUUAUUAUUUUUUAAGGCUCUGAGAUAAAUCUGAUUCAUGUUUGAAUCAUAAGUUUAUUAUUGAUUUUUAGUGUGGAUUUUGCAUAAGAUACUCAAUUUAGAGAAUACUCAGCUUUCUCAUAUGCAGAAUAGAAAAAAAGUAGUUACCUGAUCAGAUUUUUUGAAAGGUAAAUGCAACAGCAGUUGUAAAUGGCAUAGUCCAUUGUUAGGAAUAGACUAGGUGUUCAAUAAAUGAAUAAAAAAAAACCGUGAAGCUCUCCUGAAGCUUUAUAUUCCCUGUCUAUAAAAUGGAGACAUCACUGAUUUCCUGCUUACAUUACAAGACUGCUGUGAAGAUCAAAUGAAGAAACAGAUAAAAAUGUUUGGUAAACUGAAUUGUACAGUAUAAAUAGAAAGCGGUGACAAAAGUAAUUCAUACCAAUGCAGUUUUUUAAAAAUAUCCCAACCUGCCUACACAACUACUUCCUCUCUCUGAGAUUUAUCUCAAAAGUGGAAUUAGAUUCCUGUCUUAGCUGUAAAAAUAAAGCCACAAAGGGCAUCAUGCAUGAGAGAGUAAAUGUGAAACUCUGUGGGGGAAAAUGGAAACUUCAGAUAUUAUUAGGGCCUAGCUGCCAAUGGUGAUUCUCUCAAGAUUUUAUUGGCAGGUUGAGUGAAAGUGCCAGAGUGUGGAUGCACAAAUUGUAGUUUAAUUGGUGUGAUUUAUAGCUAAUGGUGCAUCAGAAGGAGGAACUAGGAACUGUGCCUUCUAAUUUAAGGCAUAGUACCUAAGACUGCAUCCACUAGGUAAGAAAACCUUCCUUGGCAAACUCAAAUAUUAAAUCUUCGCUGAAUUUGUCUUGUUCUUUUAUAUAAAAAUCAUGGAGCCAGGAGCUAAAAUAAUAUCUAAGUUUCCUCUUUGCCUGACGCCAUCCAUGCAAAAUGUGACUUGCUUCUUCAGCAGCAGCAUGAAAACAAACUAAUACACCACUAUUCCUAGUUUGUACAACGAAAGGCUAAAAAUUUGGGAGAUGCAGGAUGACUGAAGCCCGAUUCUGGGGGUUGUUACAGCACAGUUACAGGGUAAGUUUUUUCCAUUGUUAUUUGCUGGAAAAUUUAUUCUCCAUCUCCUUUAGUCUGUGCCUGAAUUUUGUGGGACUUGCUCGAGAAUGGUAUUCAUGCUUUAAAUCCAAGAGCCAGGAAUCAUCGCAUUUCAACAAUUUUCCUAUUUAUUUUAACCAAAACAGAGCUGGUUUCUAUAACUCAAUUUAAGAAAUUAUCCUCUUUGAUACAAUCUACUUAUGUUUGAUUGAUUUUAGAAUAAACUAACAGAUACACAAGAGCUUAUCAAGCUAGCUCGGUUCAGUGGAGAACUAUAGCAGAAACAGCAGGUUUCUAUUUGGCACAUUUUGGAUUUAUCUGGACGCAAGAGGAUGUGAAAAGAACACCUUUCAGACAAAAGCCAGUCUUGAGUAGGAAUUUAGUGUUCCUUGCCCAAACAGCUUAGUUUGUUUCCCAUUUUGAGUCACUAUCUGAAUCCUUUUUUAUCUCCUAUAUAGAACAAAUUCUCUCCCUCUAUUUAAUAGGCUUUCAGAUAUGAAACAGAGAGAGAGAGAGAGAGAGGAAGGAAGGAAGGGAGGGAGGGAAAGAGAAAGGGAAAGAAGGAAGGAAAAGCUCUAAUUUCUUCUGUUCUUUUGGUAACACACCUCCCCUUCACAUCCUUCAGCUGCUCCCCUUAGGGCUUUUUGUAGACACUUUUGGUGGUCUCUCCUCUCACACACUGCUCACCACUGUACUUUAUUUUGUAUCAUCUGUCUCCAUCCUUUCCCAACUCCUGAGCACUCAGCCUCCUCUGGAUCUUUUCUGGUUCCUUCGCUCCUAGAACUGUGUCUGAUGGCUUAUGAAGGCAAAUGACAAAUGUUUGCCAUAUGCACAUGUAUGUGCAUGAAUGAAUACAUCCAGGUUCUGACUUCCUCGGGGCAACCUCUACUUUCUCAAUGCCCCUCUUAAGAUGGGGGUGGGGGAGGGUCCUCCUAGAACUGAACAUGAUAUUCCAGGUGUGAUCUAAUACAUUUAAAUGUCCAAAAGCUCUUUCUUCCCUAAACGUUCCUUUUUAAAAGCUACUGUUCUCAAUUAAUGGGUGUCUCAUCUUCUUAAGUAUAUUAAUAAGAGGUAUUUUGAUGUUUCCCUCCAUUCUGUGGAUUACCUCUUGAUUCUCUGGAUUCUUUGUGAUUCCGUUUUGUUUUAAGGAUGUUCUCAGGUGUCUGGUGAUCCUUGCUUAUAAGUCCAAAUUAAUGAUGAGGCACUAAAAUGCUGAUUGGAAGCUCUCUGUGCAGGCAGGUAUUGUUGAAUAGUGGUAAACAGGGGACAUGUUCAUUUUGGAGACACUCAAAUAUCAGGACCUAUAAAUCUCUAUGCCAAGUCAGUUUCCCCAGAGUCUCUUAAUAUCAUUUCUUUCAGGUUAAAAGCCUGGUUACCAGGUUCUGGGAGUGAAGGGAGGAGUGGGGCUUAGACAAGGGUGGGGGCGGGGGUAUGUCUCACAAUUCACUAAAUACCUUCUUUUAUAUAUGUGUUCUCUGUGCAGCAUUUUACCCCCACCAUCGUCCAUGUCUGAUGCCUCAGGUUCAAUCUUGUUCAGUCUUUCCAAAGAGGAAACAUUGGUUGGGUGGGAAUGAUUGGCAGGUCGAAGAGAGAAUUUGAAGCUAUAGCUGCUCCUUUUAAAACUUCUAACUCAUCUUUGUUUUUUCAGGCCUUCCUCACACCCAUGUCUUCAGAUACCCAAGGCCUUUAAUACCCAAGUCCUUCCAGGAUUCUGCACAUCUCAUUAGCUUCAUAUUCCCGUAAGUACUUGGGUUUCUGCUUUCUCAGCUCUGAUGUGUCAUUUUCUAAUCAAUCAUCAGCAUUCCAGCUUCCAAAGUUUUGUUCAUAUAUCUUACAUGUGUUGUCUUGACCGACUUCUUUUUGGACCUUAGAUUAUUUACCUAUUUAAAUUCCUUAAUUGUUACUUUAGUGGAGUUUUGGAAGGGAACAAAAAUAUAGGCAGGUGUUUAUCACAUUUAACAAGGAACUCAAAAUUUAUAUUUAAUUCUAUUUAAUCUGGCUGCCUUCUUGCCAUCAGUCUAUUUGAAAAGUUCAUAUGGACCCAGCUCUGUCAUCAUCACAUGUUCUAUAUCCCCAAACCUUGUGACAUCUGCAAAGAAGUACAGAAGACCUCAAGAGAAGAUAAGCUAGAAUUUAUUUAUUUUUAUACCUUUUAUUCAGUUUUUAUUAAAGCUUUCCUACCUUUCCAGAUUGACACAGAAUUAUUCCAUGAAUCUGUCUAUUAAUCCAUUUACAGCAAGUGCUGGGGAUAGAAAUUAAGGUUUAAACAUAUAAUUCCUGCCAUCAAAGGACUCCCUGUUGAUUAGGGGACACAGGCAAGAAAAUAGACAGUAAGUUUGUUAAGGCAUGAACAAAGAACUGUGUUGGUACACACAGUACAGAGAGGAAGUACAAAGAGGAUGGUGCUUAAGAAGAGUUAACACCUAGACCUAAUCUUAGAGGAUGAGGAAGCAUUGGGUAGACUAGAAGACUAGGUGUAGGGGUAAAGGAAGGCAUAUCAGAGAAAAGGGAGCAGCUACAUAGAGGCAAGGACUAUGCCUCUUCUGCCUCUGAAGAGGAGAAAUUUCUUUCAAUCAAUAGAAAGUGCAGGACAAAGGGUACUAAGUCAUCUUUUGAUGGGAUAACUUGAUGUUAGUGUCCUUCCAUGAGAAAAUGGGAAGCAGCCCCUUAUAAUAAAACCUCUGGCUUUUGAAUUACCAAGUAAAACUGAGGUGUCAGCAACCCUUGGCUGAAUGUGGAACUUGCUAAUAGAACCCCUACAUUCAUGGGAAGGGAUAAAAGAGCUUUAAAAAGUACAAAAGCAUUGUGUGAAUAUAUGGGAUUAAUAUUACUACUACAAUAUUGCCUACCACCACCAUCCCCAGCCCUGAGGAGUCUUCUUAAACUUACAAAAUGAAGCUGCUUCUCUAUGGAUGUAGACAUUUCCUGGUUUCAACAUUGCACCAUAGCUAUGCAUUAUGUCAACAUUGGGAAAAGGCAGGGUGGAAGGUGCACAGGAGCUCUCUGUACAUUUCUUUGAAACUUCCUUUAUACCUUUUAAAAGUUAAAAAGCAGCAGCAGUGGCAGCUUCUCAAGGCCAAAGAUGGGGAGCUCUAUUUCAUUUGCAUUUCUACUCAGGGCUAUAAUGAAUUGAACUCAAUGUGUUGCUAAAGAUUAUUAUGAAAUUAAAAUCCAAUUAGGAUGGUCUCGUGGGUCUGGUAAAAGCUUGGAUUAGAGACCAGGCACAACACGGGGUUGGGGGAGAUGGACUGCUCAAUAGAAGUAGGGCUGAGUGGGGAGUUUAAAGCACUGGCCUCUAAGUAUAGGAACCACUGUACAAAUUUUAAAAUAUACUCAGGAUAGUUAAUAUUUGAUCAAAAUCCACUGUGAAGUGAGGAAUUUUUCCUGCUGGGCAUUCUAUUUUCCAGUUCUAUGAUCAAGCCCAGUGACUGGUAAAUACAAUAUGCCCCACUAGCCCCCAGCUUCUCCCAGCUCCUGUUCCCUCCUGGUGCUCAAAGGGAGAAAGGCUAAGAAAUUCCAAGCCCUGGUCAGGAAAGUGAUCUUGAAAUCACACACAAUGAAUAGUGCCAUCACUAAUGACUCAGCUUGUAAAGAACCAGUGAAGUGAGGAAAUUCUUUCUAUGCACAGAAUGUCUAGAUAUUUAGGCAAAAUUGAAGGGGAUGAGGCAGGAAUAACCAGGACAAACUCAGUAAGAACUUCAACCCUGGUUUUCUCAAGAUUCAGUUUAUGUGCUGAUCAUUUUCUCUCAUAUCUAAUUCCCUUACUUCCCCUGCUCUGUUUUACAUCGAAAGUGCUGACUUCAUGCAAAUUACAUGCAAUUUGCAUGUAAUUUGGAAUUUGCUCCCUGGGAAAAUCACUUCUGACUAGGUUCAGCCAAUGGGAGGCACUAACAGGAGAUUGGAGGGUAGGAGGAAGGGAGGCAUAAGGGAAUUUCUUUCCCCUCUCUGUUUCAGGUGGCAUUUCAAGAAUGUCUGUUUUUCCUCCAUGAUUUCUAUAGAUAUUCCUUAAUUUUCAAGUCUCCAUUAGCAUAGGUAUGAAGGUUUCUCAAUGUGCUCUUGCUUUGGCUUCCUUUAGUCAGAAUAGAAAGAGAAAGUUUUUUAACUUUAUUCAAACAUAUUAGGGGUUUGCUAGAGAAUACAUUAUUUGCCCCUAGUUAUCCUGAUGUUAUAAAAGGAGGCAGACCUGGACAAGUGUAAAUUAGCACAGACAUUCUAACAAUCACCAGAAAAAUGCACCCAUAAGUAGUGCCAAUGCAAGAAGUUUUGACUGUAAUGCCCGUGUGCAGUAGGCUGAAUGAUGGCCCCCAAGUAUAUCUAUAUCCUAAUCCCGAGAACUUGUGAAUGUUACUUGCUAUGCUGAAAGGGACUUUGAAGGUGUGAUUAAGGGUUUUGAGAUGGGGAGAUUUUCCUGGAUUAUAUGAAUGUGUCCUAAAUAUAAUCACACAGGUCCAUGUAAGAGGUAGGCAAGGUCAAAGGAGGAAAUAGAAGGUAAGAUAAUGAAAACAAGAGGUUGGAGGGCUGUGAGGAAGGGGGUCACAAGCCAAGAAGCAUAGGUGGCCUAGAGAAGCUAGAAAACACAAAGAAAUGGAUUUCUUAUAGAGUCUUCACGGGGGACUAGCCUUGCUCACACCUUGACUUUAGCCUAGUGAAACUGAUUUCAGACUUCUGGCCUCCAAAACUGUAAGAGAAUAGAACUGUGCUG
RNAcentral lists this long non-coding RNA (8940 nucleotides) under Homo sapiens (human). RNAcentral describes it as "HSALNT0364197". Lineage: Eukaryota; Metazoa; Chordata; Mammalia; Primates; Hominidae. The record is from RNAcentral.